CGUCGAUGGUGAGACUCCUCUCAAGCUCGCCGAGUAUUUUGGUGUUGCUGACAAGGUUUUCAAGUACAACAUCAUCUCCGAUGAACCCCCAGCAGAUUUGAACACCAUCACCUUGGCACCCAAUGUCGUGAAUGCUACAUUCAGAACCUUCAUUGAGAUCAUCUUUGAGAACCCUGGCAAAACCGUCCAGUCAUACAACCUUGAUGGUUACUCAUUCUUUUUAGUCGCGUAAGUACUUGUUAUCCCCACUCAUGAGGAAAUUUAAUUAAAUACUUAAUUUUUAUAUGUUUUGUUUUAUAUCCUAUAAUCUACAGGGUAGAACCAGGGAAGUGGACCCCAGAGAAGAGGAAGAACUACAACCUUCUUGAUACCGUGAGCAGACACACCGUUCAAGUUUUCCCCAAAUCUUGGGCAGCUAUCAUGUUGACAUUCGACAAUGCUGGCAUGUGGAACUUGAGGUCGGAGCAUGCUGAGAAUCGUUACUUGGGCCAACAACUCUACAUUAGUGUUUUGUCCCCAGAACGUUCUCUAAGGGAUGAGUACAACAUU
Molecule: long non-coding RNA, 549 nt
Filed under: Lotus japonicus
Lineage: Eukaryota; Viridiplantae; Streptophyta; Magnoliopsida; Fabales; Fabaceae
Description: long non-coding RNA (LJAP_LNC002140)
Source: RNAcentral